AGAGCGAACGCUGGCGGCAGGCUUAACACAUGCAAGUCGAGCGGAAAGGCCCUUCGGGGUACUCGAGCGGCGAACGGGUGAGUAACACGUGAGCAACCUGCCCCUGGCUCUGGGAUAGCCUCCGGAAACGGGGAUUAAUACCGGACAUUCACUUUCUUCCGCAUGGUCGGGAGUGGAAAGUUUUUCGGCCAGGGAGGGCUCGCGGCCUAUCAGCUUGUUGGCGGGGUAACGGCCCACCAAGGCGACGACGGGUAG
RNAcentral lists this ribosomal RNA (255 nucleotides) under uncultured bacterium. RNAcentral's name for it is "partial small subunit ribosomal RNA". It matches the Rfam family "Bacterial small subunit ribosomal RNA", at positions 26 to 286 of the family's 1533-position model. The record is from RNAcentral.